ACAGAUGGUUUAUCAUACCACCAUCUGCCAGAGAAUUACAAGUGAAAAACUUAAAACUCUAAGGACUUGACGGUGCCCCACACCAGCCUAGAGGAGCCUGUCCUAUAAUCGAUACCCCACGCUCCACCUCACCCCCCCUUGCCAAACCCCCGCCUAUAUACCGCCGUCGUCAGCCCACCUACUGAUAGCAACAAAAGUCAGCAUAAUAGCACCCCGCUAGCACGUCAGGUCAAGGUGUAGCUAAUGGGGGGGACUAAGAUGGGCUACAUUUGCUAACCUAUAGCAAACCCACUGAAAGCCCCAUGAAACAAAGGGCCAGAAGGCGGAUUUAGCAGUAAACACCGGCAAGACAUGCCCACUUGAACACCGCUCUGGGGCGCGUACACACCG
This 390-nucleotide ribosomal RNA is filed under the name Homonota uruguayensis (Uruguay marked gecko). Its description in RNAcentral is "partial 12S ribosomal RNA". It matches the Rfam family "Bacterial small subunit ribosomal RNA", at positions 845 to 1392 of the family's 1533-position model. Lineage: Eukaryota; Metazoa; Chordata; Lepidosauria; Squamata; Phyllodactylidae. The record is from RNAcentral.